Paramisgurnus dabryanus is the source of this 1766-nucleotide non-coding RNA. NCBI's taxonomy places the organism in Eukaryota, Metazoa, Chordata, Actinopteri, Cypriniformes, Cobitidae. The record is from RefSeq and is a predicted model, not a curated record.
AAAAUGGAAUCCGUUAAGUAAAUGUAAAUGUUUUAAUAUAAUAUACAAGUAAAAAUAAAUAAAAUAGCAGCGCUUUCUUUGCUUUUAAUGACACACAGCUGCUAAGUUCCAUUAUUCCGAAGCAGGAGGGGGCAGUAAUGUACAUACGCUGGUUGCCAGCCGCCGUUAAUACUCAAGUAAGUUAGAGAAAAGACAACUCGGGAAAGUGAGGACAAAUAAGGGAUUAUUGGCUUGUUUUACACGUAUCAUUGUUUUGUGUUCCCCUCCUUCGUAAAAAAACAGACAAUUCCACGUCAACUCGAACACGCAAAACCCCGGUAUGAUGCAUUGUCAUGAGCAUGCCAAACCAACAGAUGGCGAUAUAUUCCUUAACCCAGAGAAGCCACUACAGUCUCGUCUUGCCAUGAACAAGGAAAAAAUGCGGGAGCUGACUUCGCAGACGUACGUGGCUCAGGUCAUUGGCACUGUUGUGUAAGUAUUUCACUAACAGACACCUCAAGACAUUUUAGUGUGUGUAACUGGACAUCAUUUAUGUAAAUCUGUAAUAUUCAAUUGUUAUGUUUUAUGUCUUUGCAAAACAGAUCACAACAUCAUUUGCUGUGCCUGGGAUAAUGAAGACAAUUUGGGUUGUCGUGUUACACGCCAGGUGAACAACAUCAGAGUGCGGCAGUCAGAGAUCCUAAAGAAGGACUCCAUAUGUUUACUCGAGACAGUACGCCGUACAUCUCUUACGACGAGGAUAUUUGUUUCAGGACCGCUUUCCCGAUACUGACAAGGACAUUUAAGCAAUUAUGUGAGCUGCAGUCUGGAUCCUGCCUCUGUCAGAUGACCUAACACAAAUGGAAAGAUGACAUCAACCCUUGCAAGGACUUCAGACGAUCCCAGCACUGGACUACAUACAGUGGGGUGCCCAAACUUGUGCAUGUCACUGUACUGAUAUAUACUAUACAAAUAAUAUUUUCAGUAGUCUGUGUCAAAUUUUAUUUCAAGUCAAUGGGUACCAUCAACUGUAUGAUUGACAUCAUUUAUCAGAUUAAAGAAUUUUUGGCAAGUUUAUAACAACAUGAAGAUCAAAAUCCCUGGUGGUAAAUCAACACUGCUCAGUCUUAUCUAUUUGAGUACACUGACGAUCCUGAAGGUGUGUUUAACAUUAAUACAAUAAUAAAGUAAUGCAUAAAGUAAUAAUUGAACAUUACUGAUGAUGUGUGCUGUUAACAAGCAGAAGGGUAAAGAUAAACUAAAACAAAGACGUCAAAGCAACAAGAUGACUUUGUUCAGACAACUCAACCCUUUUAAAAUGUCUUUUAUUUAACAGUGCAUUUUAUCCUUUAUCUAAGACAAAGCAGGCCAUGUUAACUUCAUUUAAUACAUUCUGGAACAAAUCUGGGUCCACUUAUCAUUUCUACUUACAAAUUAACAUUUCUGUUCUGCUCCGUUUACAGUGUUUGGGUGAGAUCUAGACCGAGGACUAAGGCGUAUACUAGGACAGAACUAAGUGUUGUAGCCCACAGGUGAUCCUAAAGCAACAAAGAGGAACCAUGGAGAGGAAGAAGUGGUGUCCAGAUGUUUAAAAGGCGGUGUUCGGGACAGGAAACGAAGGCAACAAAGAGGAACCUCUAAGGUUUAAAGGCACUGCUUGCAGAGACGAGUGCAGAAAAUAAAGACAGAAGACCUGACGAGAAUGUUUUAUGAUUAAAUGUUUUUGUUAUGUACAUGCACAUUAUUAUUUACAAUAUAUUUCUGAGAUACAUAAAUAUGUGACCUUG